AUGUGGUAUGGGUUGCCCGGCCGGCCUCCCUGUCCCCCUCAGCUGGCCUGGUCCUGGAGUGCCCCGUGUCAGCUUCCAGCUCCCUCGUCACUACUUAGCUCUGACAAGCGUGUGGCCGAUGGACCCCCGGGGGACACUGGGGUGGCCACAGCACCACGCAGCGUCCUGAGUAGCAGAAUCCAGAGGCGGAGCUCCUGCUUCCCUGCCCCUCCGAACCCGAGCCAGGCAAGGGCAGGACAGGCCCUUCCACGGAGGACCCGAACCCUGCCCAGGCCCUCCCGAGAUGCUCAUCAAGGCACCGCUCUCCCUGUGCCGGUGCAGGCUCACACGCACGCACACACACACACAGGCCUGCACGCCAUCCAGCACUGCACACACUCACACUCACACACACAGGCCUGCACGCCAUCCACUACUGCACACACUCACACACACACACAGGCCUGCACGCCAUCCAGCAUUGCACACGCUCACACACACACACACACACAGGCCUGCACACCAUCCAGCACUGCACACGCUCACACACACACACACAGGCCUGCACGCCAUCCAGCACUGCACACACACACACACAGGCCUGCACGCCAUCCAGCACUGCACACGCUCACACACACACACACACAGGCCUGCACGCCAUCCAGCACUGCACACACACACACACACAGGCCUGCACGCCAUCCAGCACUGCACACGCUCACACACACACACACACAGGCCUGCACGCCAUCCAGCACUGCACACGCUCACACACACACACACACAGGCCUGCACGCCAUCCAGUACUGCACACACACUCACACACACACACACAGGCCUGCACGCCAUCCAGCACUCCACAGGGUCCCUUGGCCAGGGCAGCCCCCACCGCUCUCUUGGGGGUCAUGGGGCUCUCCUUGUGAGGUCACACCUCCUCUUGGGGCCCAGGCAGCAGGGGUGUCAGAUGAGGUGGGGCAGGGAGGGGGCUGUCCCCCAGGCCUCAUUCAGGCACAUGGCAGGAACACGGGCAGACACCUCUGA
This 1020-nucleotide long non-coding RNA is filed under the name Oryctolagus cuniculus (rabbit). Its description in RNAcentral is "lncRNA (ENSOCUG00000036373.1)". Lineage: Eukaryota; Metazoa; Chordata; Mammalia; Lagomorpha; Leporidae. The record is from RNAcentral.